RNAcentral lists this ribosomal RNA (550 nucleotides) under Hypolimnas misippus. RNAcentral's name for it is "partial 16S ribosomal RNA". It matches the Rfam family "Bacterial large subunit ribosomal RNA", at positions 1807 to 2622 of the family's 2925-position model. Lineage: Eukaryota; Metazoa; Arthropoda; Insecta; Lepidoptera; Nymphalidae. The record is from RNAcentral.
UCAAAAACAUGUCUUUUUGAUAAUAAUUUAAAGUCUAAUCUGCCCACUGAUAUAUUAUAUUAAAGGGCUGCAGUAUAUUGACUGUACAAAGGUAGCAUAAUCAUUAGUCUUUUAAUUGAAGACUUGUAUGAAAGAUUUGAUGAAAUAUAAACUGUCUCUAAUUUAUAUAUAGAAAUUAAUUUUUUAGUUAAAAAGCUAAAAUAAAGUUAAAAGACGAGAAGACCCUAUAGAGUUUUAUAUUUUACUUGUUUAAUGUUAAAUAUAUAAUUAAAUUAUAUAAAAAAAUUAAAAUAUUGUGUUGGGGUGAUAGAAAAAUUUAAUAAACUUUUUUUUUGUGGUUAAACAUAAAUAAGUGAUUAAUUGAUCCAUUUUUAGUGAUUAAAAGAAAAAAUUACCUUAGGGAUAACAGCGUAAUAUUUUUUUUUAGUACAAAUAAAAAAAAAAGUUUGCGACCUCGAUGUUGGAUUAAGAUAAAAUUUAAAUGCAAAAGUUUAAAAUUUUGAUCUGUUCGAUCAUUAAAAUCUUACAUGAUCUGAGUUCAAACCGGAGA